This 718-nucleotide ribosomal RNA is filed under the name uncultured bacterium. RNAcentral's name for it is "bacterial SSU rRNA". It matches the Rfam family "Bacterial small subunit ribosomal RNA", at positions 74 to 792 of the family's 1533-position model. The record is from RNAcentral.
AGGUUUUCGGACCUAGAGACCGGCGCACGGGUGCGUAACGCGUAUGCAAUCUACCUUUUACAGAGGGAUAGCCCAGAGAAAUUUGGAUUAAUACCUCAUAGUAUUAUUGAAUGGCAUCAUUUAAUAAUUAAAGUCACAACGGUAAAAGAUGAGCAUGCGUCCCAUUAGCUAGUUGGUAAGGUAACGGCUUACCAAGGCAACGAUGGGUAGGGGUCCUGAGAGGGAGAUCCCCCACACUGGUACUGAGACACGGACCAGACUCCUACGGGAGGCAGCAGUGAGGAAUAUUGGUCAAUGGGCGCAAGCCUGAACCAGCCAUGCCGCGUGCAGGAUGAAGCAUCUAUGGUGUGUAAACUGCUUUUGUACGAGAAGAAACACUCCUACGUGUAGGAGCUUGACGGUAUCGUAAGAAUAAGGACCGGCUAACUCCGUGCCAGCAGCCGCGGUAAUACGGAGGGUCCAAGCGUUAUCCGGAAUCAUUGGGUUUAAAGGGUCCGUAGGCGGUUUAGUAAGUCAGUGGUGAAAGCCCAUCGCUCAACGGUGGAACGGCCAUUGAUACUGCUAAACUUGAAUUAUUGGGAAGUAACUAGAAUAUGUAGUGUAGCGGUGAAAUGCUUAGAGAUUACAUGGAAUACCAAUUGCGAAGGCAGGUUACUACCAAUAUAUUGACGCUGAUGGACGAAAGCGUGGGGAGCGAACAGGAUUAGAUACCCUGGUA